Potamilus streckersoni is the source of this 78-nucleotide non-coding RNA. The record is from the annotation of a GenBank genome assembly. Lineage: Eukaryota; Metazoa; Mollusca; Bivalvia; Unionida; Unionidae.
GACCACUCCGGUAGUAUUAGUGGUUAGAGCAUCCGCUUCGGAUGCAGAUGGUCGUGGGUUCGAACCCCGAUAGAGUCA